UGGAUCCAGACUUUGAUCAUGGCUCAGGAUGAACGCUAGCUACAGGCUUAACACAUGCAAGUCGAGGGGAAACGACAUCGAAAGCUUGCUUUUGAUGGGUGUCGACCGGCGCACGGGUGAGUAACGCGUAUCCAACCUGCCCAUCACUUGGGGAUAACCUUGCGAAAGUAAGACUAAUACCCAAUGAUAUCUCUAGAAGACGUCUGAAAGAGAUUAAAGAUUUAUCGGUGAUGGAUGGGGAUGCGUCUGAUUAGCUUGUUGGCGGGGUAACGGCCCACCAAGGCGACGAUCAGUAGGGGUUCUGAGAGGAAGGUCCCCCACAUUGGAACUGAGACACGGUCCAAACUCCUACGGGAGGCAGCAGUGAGGAAUAUUGGUCAAUGGACGAGAGUCUGAACCAGCCAAGUAGCGUGCAGGAUGACGGCCCUAUGGGUUGUAAACUGCUUUUAUAAGGGAAUAAAGUGAGAGUCGUGACUCUUUUUGCAUGUACCUUAUGAAUAAGGACCGGCUAAUUCCGUGCCAGCAGCCGCGGUAAUACGGAAGGUCCGGGCGUUAUCCGGAUUUAUUGGGUUUAAAGGGAGCGUAGGCCGGAGAUUAAGCGUGUUGUGAAAUGUAGACGCUCAACGUCUGCACUGCAGCGCGAACUGGUUUCCUUGAGUACGCACAAAGUGGGCGGAAAUCGUGGUGUAGCGGUGAAAUGCUUAGAUAUCACGAAGGACUCCGAUUGCGAAGGCAGCUCACUGGAGCGCAACUGACGCUGAAGCUCGAAAGUGCGGGUAUCGAACAGGAUUAGAUACCCUGGUAGUCCGCACGGUAAACGAUGGAUGCCCGCUGUUGGUCUGAGUAGGUCAGCGGCCAAGCGAAAGCAUUAAGCAUCCCACCUGGGGAGUACGCCGGCAACGGUGCAACUCAAAUGAAUUGACGGA
Molecule: ribosomal RNA, 926 nt
Filed under: uncultured Bacteroidota bacterium
Lineage: Bacteria; Pseudomonadati; Bacteroidota
Description: bacterial SSU rRNA
Rfam family: Bacterial small subunit ribosomal RNA
Source: RNAcentral